This is a non-coding RNA of Podarcis lilfordi (Lilford's wall lizard), 72 nucleotides long. The record is from the annotation of a GenBank genome assembly. Lineage: Eukaryota; Metazoa; Chordata; Lepidosauria; Squamata; Lacertidae.
CAGUUUUGGAACAAGCCAGGAUCUUAAACCAGCUUCAACUGUGGUUUAAGAUCCUGGUUUGUUCCAAAGCUG